CCAGCAGCCGCGGUAAUACGUAGGGUGCAAGCGUUGUCCGGAAUUAUUGGGCGUAAAGAGCUCGUAGGCGGUUUGUCGCGUCUGCUGUGAAAUCCCGAGGCUCAACCUCGGGCUUGCAGUGGGUACGGGCAGACUAGAGUGCGGUAGGGGAGAUUGGAAUUCCUGGUGUAGCGGUGGAAUGCGCAGAUAUCAGGAGGAACACCGAUGGCGAAGGCAGAUCUCUGGGCCGUAACUGACGCUGAGGAGCGAAAGCGUGGGGAGCGAACAGGAUUAGAUACCCUGGUAGUCCACGCCGUAAACGUUGGGCGCUAGAUGUAGGGACCUUUCCACGGUUUCUGUGUCGUAGCUAACGCAUUAAGCGCCCCGUCUGGGGAGUACGGCCGCAAGGCUAAAACUCAAAGGAAUUGACGGGGGCCCGCACAAGCGGCGGAGCAUGCGGAUUAAUUCGAUGCAACGCGAAGAACCUUACCAAGGCUUGACAUACACCGGAAACGGCCAGAGAUGGUCGCCCCCUUGUGGUCGGUGUACAGGUGGUGCAUGGUUGUCGUCAGCUCGUGUCGUGAGAUGUUGGGUUAAGUCCCGCAACGAGCGCAACCCUCGUUCUAUGUUGCCAGCGCGUUAUGGCGGGGACUCAUAGGAGACUGCCGGGGUCAACUCGGAGGAAGGUGGGGAUGACGUCAAAUCAUCAUGCCCCUUAUGUCUUGGGCUUCACGCAUGCUACAAUGGCCGGUACAAAGGGCUGCGAUACCGUAAGGUGGAGCGAAUCCCAAAAAGCCGGUCUCAGUUCGGAUUGAGGUCUGCAACUCGACCUCAUGAAGUCGGAGUCGCUAGUAAUCGCAGAUCAGCAACGCUGCGGUGAAUACGUUCCCGGGCCUUGUACACACCGCCCGUCAAGUCAUGAAAGUCGGUAACACCCGAAGCCGGUGGCCUAACCCUUGUGGAAGGAGCCGUCGAAGGUGGGAUCGGUGAUUAGGACGAAGUCGUAACAAGGUAGCC
RNAcentral lists this ribosomal RNA (996 nucleotides) under Curtobacterium sp. RNAcentral's name for it is "bacterial SSU rRNA". It matches the Rfam family "Bacterial small subunit ribosomal RNA", at positions 508 to 1501 of the family's 1533-position model. Lineage: Bacteria; Bacillati; Actinomycetota; Actinomycetes; Micrococcales; Microbacteriaceae. The record is from RNAcentral.